UCUGGCUCAGAUUGAACGCUGGCGGCAGGCUUAACACAUGCAAGUCGAGCGGGCGAGGUUACUUCGGUAACUGAGCUAGCGGCGGACGGGUGAGUAAUGCUUAGGAAUCUGCCUAUUAGUGGGGGACAACAUUCCGAAAGGAAUGCUAAUACCGCAUACGCCCUACGGGGGAAAGCAGGGGAUCUUCGGACCUUGCGCUAAUAGAUGAGCCUAAGUCAGAUUAGCUAGUUGGUGGGGUAAAGGCCUACCAAGGCGACGAUCUGUAGCGGGUCUGAGAGGAUGAUCCGCCACACUGGGACUGAGACACGGCCCAGACUCCUACGGGAGGCAGCAGUGGGGAAUAUUGGACAAUGGGCGAAAGCCUGAUCCAGCCAUGCCGCGUGUGUGAAGAAGGCCUUUUGGUUGUAAAGCACUUUAAGCGAGGAGGAGGCUACCGAGAUUAAUACUCUUGGAUAGUGGACGUUACUCGCAGAAUAAGCACCGGCUAACUCUGUGCCAGCAGCCGCGGUAAUACAGAGGGUGCGAGCGUUAAUCGGAUUUACUGGGCGUAAAGCGUGCGUAGGCGGCUUUUUAAGUCGGAUGUGAAAUCCCUGAGCUUAACUUAGGAAUUGCAUUCGAUACUGGGAAGCUAGAGUAUGGGAGAGGAUGGUAGAAUUCCAGGUGUAGCGGUGAAAUGCGUAGAGAUCUGGAGGAAUACCGAUGGCGAAGGCAGCCAUCUGGCCUAAUACUGACGCUGAGGUACGAAAGCAUGGGGAGCAAACAGGAUUAGAUACCCUGGUAGUCCAUGCCGUAAACGAUGUCUACUA
Molecule: ribosomal RNA, 806 nt
Filed under: Acinetobacter johnsonii
Lineage: Bacteria; Pseudomonadati; Pseudomonadota; Gammaproteobacteria; Moraxellales; Moraxellaceae
Description: bacterial SSU rRNA
Rfam family: Bacterial small subunit ribosomal RNA
Source: RNAcentral